ACGCUCGACACCUACGGGAGCAGCAGUAGGGAAUCUUCCGCAAUGGACGAAAGUCUGACGGAGCAACGCCGCGUGAACGAUGAAGGUUUUCGGAUCGUAAAGUUCUGUUGUUAGGAAGAACAAACUUCGUUUGAAUAAGGCGGAGUCAUGACGGUACCUAACGAGAAAGCCACGGCUAACUACGUGCCAACAGCCGCGGUAAUCUGAGCGGGCUGGCAAGGC
Molecule: ribosomal RNA, 222 nt
Filed under: uncultured bacterium
Lineage: Bacteria
Description: partial 16S ribosomal RNA
Rfam family: Bacterial small subunit ribosomal RNA
Source: RNAcentral